Molecule: unclassified non-coding RNA, 473 nt
Filed under: Hevea brasiliensis (rubber tree)
Lineage: Eukaryota; Viridiplantae; Streptophyta; Magnoliopsida; Malpighiales; Euphorbiaceae
Source: RNAcentral
CUCGUUUGUAUCUCUUUUAGUGCCUCCAUUGCCAACUCCAAGGGAUUGAUAGCCUUGUGAGGGAGACCACUGUGAAAAAGCUUCCCAGUAGUUUUGAGUCUCCAUGCUAUCAUCCCACCAGUUCCAAUGCAAGGUUGUUUAUCAGCCGUAUCGAUCCAAUACAGAGGCCCUUGUUUGAGCUUGUCAAGCAGCCCAUCCUUCACUAGGGCGUCAACGCCGAUCCCAGAGACCGACGAGUUCUCCUCGUUGGCUAUGAAGACAGCGACAACCGUGUUCUUGAGAGCCGGGCGUGUCUUCCCCAGCCGUCGCAUGAGCUCAGUCACGAGCGCCACGUGUCCCAAGCAGUCGGUCGUUCCUCGCCCGCGCAGCUUGUCCCCAUCGAUGCUCAAUGAGAAAGGAUCGAACUCCCAAUCGGCGGGAUCAGCGGUGACGACAUCCAUGUGGCACCCAACGAACGACAGAAUCCUCCCCGG